This 441-nucleotide ribosomal RNA is filed under the name uncultured bacterium. Its description in RNAcentral is "partial 16S ribosomal RNA". It matches the Rfam family "Bacterial small subunit ribosomal RNA", at positions 355 to 784 of the family's 1533-position model. The record is from RNAcentral.
UGGGGAAUUUUGGACAAUGGGCGCAAGCCUGAUCCAGCCAUGCCGCGUGCGGGAAGAAGGCCUUCGGGUUGUAAACCGCUUUUGUCAGGGAAGAAAUCUUCUGAGUUAAUACCUCGGGAGGAUGACGGUACCUGAAGAAUAAGCACCGGCUAACUACGUGCCAGCAGCCGCGGUAAUACGUAGGGUGCAAGCGUUAAUCGGAAUUACUGGGCGUAAAGCGUGCGCAGGCGGUUUUGUAAGACAGAGGUGAAAUCCCGGGACCGUCAACCUGGGAACUGCCUUUGUGACUGCAAGGCUUGAGUGCGGCAGAGGGGGAUGGAAUUCCGCGUGUAGCAGUGAAAUGCGUAGAUAUGCGGAGGAACACCGAUGGCGAAGGCAAUCCCCUGGGCCUGCACUGACGCUCAUGCACGAAAAGCGUGGGGAGCAAAACAGGAUUAGAUA